AACGCACCUUGCGCCCUCUGGUAUUCCGGAGGGCAUGCCUGUUUGAGUGUCAUGUAGACUCAAUCCCUCGGGUUUCCGAGGAGAUUGGACUUGGGUGUUGCCGCUUCUGCCGGCUCACCUUAAAAGACUUAGCGGGAUAGCACCGUAGUCGGCGUAAUAAGUUUCGUCGGUGAAGGUUGUGAUGACUGCUUACAAUCGCCCUCGGGCAAUUUUUGACUCUGACCUCAAAUCAGGUAGGACUACCCGCUGAACUUAA
RNAcentral lists this unclassified non-coding RNA (256 nucleotides) under uncultured Tremellales. RNAcentral describes it as "sequence contains ITS2". The stretch from base 1 to 52 matches the Rfam family "5.8S ribosomal RNA", at positions 103 to 154 of the family's 154-position model. The record is from RNAcentral. RNAcentral also lists the same sequence under 1 other name. Lineage: Eukaryota; Fungi; Basidiomycota; Tremellomycetes; Tremellales.